RNAcentral lists this ribosomal RNA (491 nucleotides) under uncultured bacterium. Its description in RNAcentral is "partial 16S ribosomal RNA". It matches the Rfam family "Bacterial small subunit ribosomal RNA", at positions 29 to 506 of the family's 1533-position model. The record is from RNAcentral.
AGUGAACGCUGGCGGUAGGCCUAACACAUGCAAGUCGAACGGCAGCACAGUAAGAGCUUGCUCUUACGGGUGGCGAGUGGCGGACGGGUGAGGAAUACAUCGGAAUCUACUUUUUCGUGGGGGAUAACGUAGGGAAACUUACGCUAAUACCGCAUACGACCUACGGGUGAAAGCAGGGGAUCUUCGGACCUUGCGCGAUUGAAUGAGCCGAUGUCGGAUUAGCUAGUUGGCGGGGUAAAGGCCCACCAAGGCGACGAUCCGUAGCUGGUCUGAGAGGAUGAUCCGCCACAUUGGAACUGAGCACGGGUCCAGACUCCGAGGGGGGGACGCAGGGGGGAAUUUGGGAAAAGGGGGGAAACCCUGACCCACCCAUACCGGGGGGGGGAAGAAGGCCUUCGGGUUGUAAAGCCCUUUUGUUGGGAAAAAAAAGCAGCAGGUUAAUACCCCGUUGUUUUGGCGGUACCAAAAAAAUAAGCAGCGGCUAACUUCGU